This 77-nucleotide transfer RNA is filed under the name Planctomycetota bacterium. RNAcentral's name for it is "Planctomycetes bacterium tRNA-Gly". It matches the Rfam family "tRNA". From Rfam's summary of the family: Transfer RNA (tRNA) molecules are approximately 80 nucleotides in length. Their secondary structure includes four short double-helical elements and three loops (D, anti-codon, and T loops). Lineage: Bacteria; Pseudomonadati; Planctomycetota. The record is from RNAcentral.
GCGGGUGUAGCUCAGUUGGCUAGAGCGGCAGCUUGCCAUGCUGCAGGUCGUGAGUUCGAGUCUCAUCACCCGCUCCA